This is a long non-coding RNA of Microtus oregoni (creeping vole), 1394 nucleotides long. RefSeq lists it as uncharacterized. The record is from RefSeq and is a predicted model, not a curated record. Lineage: Eukaryota; Metazoa; Chordata; Mammalia; Rodentia; Cricetidae. The transcript has 3 exons.
CAGCUCGAAGGCAAAGACCUCCCUCCCCUCCCAGAGGCCCUCCAGGAGAGGCACUGUGUACACUCAUCCACACGGAAACUAGCGGCUGCCCAGAACCGAAUGGCACCCACGGAGUUGGAGCCCUUUGCCCGGACUGGCAAACUGAGGCCUCCGCCCACCUUCUGAUGCUUGCGCUCCUUCUCAAUGCGGUCCAUCCUCUCCACGCGCAGCCGGUCCAGCUCCAGGCGCAGUUCGUCCAGCUCGGGAGCGACGUGGUGCCGGCUCACCAGCACCUCGAGGAUCUCCAGGACCCUCACGACCUUGGGCAUGAGGCGCGCGAUGGACUCGCAGCCGUGCUGGUCGAUGACCCUCUCGAACUCGUGGCCCACGAGCGACGCGAUGUCGUACACAUCCAUGACGGCACCACCCAACUUCCCUGAGGUCCAGUGUGAGCCUGUGAAUCUGCUCGCACAUAUUAUAAAAUUCCAUCUCUUCUGAGGCCUCCAAGCGGCUGGAAUCGCCUGUCUGUGCCGUGAUGAGACAAAUGUUGUAAACCAGGACCACAACAUCCCAGCCUCCAUAGAAGAACCAGAAGAUGCUGUUUGGCCAAGACUCACAGUGAUGGUCCACCUAGCCCAGAAGGAAGUUCUGGUCUCGAGCAGAGACUAGAACUGAAUGAAUGUUGAGAGGGGUGUGGCUUGCAAGUGUGGGCCGAUGAUGGAGGUGAGGUAAUGGAAGUAACAGAAAAAGGCUUACAUCCCAGUACUUAGGAGGCUAAGGGUCAGGCGUUCAAAGCCAGCCUGGACUACACAGUGAAACCAUACCCCUUCUCAAAAAAUGAAAAAACAAGGAAGUCGAUAAAUAAGUAGAAAGAAAGCAAAGGAAGCAGGCUAACGCACUGGAGAAUCCAUUCCAAAUGGAUCCGAACCUCAUAUAAAAUAUGCUCAGUGGCUGGGGCAGGUACCCUGAAAUCCCAGCUCCUGGGGAGCCCACAGCUUUCUUCUGCCUCCACUGGCUCCAGCCUGCAUGUGGUACACACGCGUGAACACACACUAAAGUAAACAAAAAUAAAUUGUAUGCUGACAAACAACUGUCACCUUGCUGGGAGAUGCUGGCAAAAGGACCAGAGUUCGAGUAUCUCCUAGAUCGUGUGCUGAGUUCACGGCCAACCUUGGCAAUAGAGGAGCCUGUCUAAAAAGAAGUGGGGGCGGGGGCACUGGAGAAAGGGCUCAACAGGUGAGGGACCCAGAGUCAAUUUCCAGCACCCACAUGGUGGCUCACAACUGUCUGUACGUCAGUUCCAGGGGCUCCAGUGUCAUCAUCUUCUGAACUCCCCAGGCAUGCCUGAUGUACACAGACAUAUAUACAAGCAAAACACUUAGGUAUAGCCGGGCGGUGGUGGCACACGCCUUUAA